Molecule: non-coding RNA, 110 nt
Organism: Acanthosepion pharaonis
Lineage: Eukaryota; Metazoa; Mollusca; Cephalopoda; Sepiida; Sepiidae
Source: the annotation of a GenBank genome assembly
CAGCCACAUCACGUUCAAACACUAGUUUCCAUACGAUCGCCGAAGUUAAGCAACGUCAAGCCUGGUCACUGCGUAGAUGGGUAACCUCUUGAGAAUAUCAGGUGGUGUAA